This 465-nucleotide ribosomal RNA is filed under the name uncultured bacterium. RNAcentral describes it as "bacterial SSU rRNA". It matches the Rfam family "Bacterial small subunit ribosomal RNA", at positions 338 to 795 of the family's 1533-position model. The record is from RNAcentral.
CCUACGGGAGGCAGCAGUGGGGAAUAUUGCACAAUGGGCGCAAGCCUGAUGCAGCCAUGCCGCGUGUAUGAAGAAGGCCCUAGGGUUGUAAAGUACUUUCAGUCGGGAGGAAGGCGUUGAUGCUAAUAUCAUCAACGAUUGACGUUACCGACAGAAGAAGCACCGGCUAACUCCGUGCCAGCAGCCGCGGUAAUACGGAGGGUGCAAGCGUUAAUCGGAAUUACUGGGCGUAAAGCGCACGCAGGCGGUCGAUUAAGUUAGAUGUGAAAUCACCGGGCUUAACCUGGGAAUGGCAUCUAAGACUGGUCAGCUAGAGUCUUGUAGAGGGGGGUGGAAUUCCAUGUGUAGCGGUAAAAUGCGUAGAGAUCUGGAGGAAUACCGGUGGCGAAGGCGGCCCCCUGGACAAAGACUGACGCUCAGGUGCGAAAGCGUGGGGAGCAAACAGGAUUAGAUACCCUAGUAGUC